This 372-nucleotide ribosomal RNA is filed under the name uncultured bacterium. RNAcentral's name for it is "bacterial SSU rRNA". It matches the Rfam family "Bacterial small subunit ribosomal RNA", at positions 30 to 414 of the family's 1533-position model. The record is from RNAcentral.
AUUGAACGCUGGCGGCAGGCUUAACACAUGCAAGUCGAGCGGGGGCUUCGGUCCUAGCGGCGAACGGGUGAGGAAUGCCUGGGAAUCUGCCUGGUAGUGGGGGAUAACGAUUCGAAAGGGUCGCUAAUACCGCAUACGUCCUACGGGAGAAAGCAGGGGACCUUCGGGCCUUGCGCUAUCAGAUGAGCCCAGGUCGGAUUAGCUAGUAGGUGAGGUAAAGGCUCACCUAGGCGACGAUCCGUAGCUGGUCUGAGAGGAUGAUCAGCCACACUGGAACUGAGACACGGUCCAGACUCCUACGGGAGGCAGCAGUGGGGAAUAUUGGACAAUGGGCGAAAGCCUGAUCCAGCCAUGCCGCGUGUGUGAAGAAGG